GAUUAAUUUAAUGGCCGCGGUAUUUUGACCGUGCAAAGGUAGCAUAAUCAUUAGUUUAUUAAUUGUGGACUGGAAUGAAUGGUUGGACGAGAUAUUAGCUGUCUCAUUUUUAAUAUUUGAAAUUAAGUUUUAAGUUAAAACGCUUAAAUUUUUUUAUAGGACGAGAAGACCCUAUAGAUCUUUAUUAUAUUUUUUAUUUAUUUUUUUGGUUUUAAAUUUUAUUUUUAUAAAAUAUAUUUUUUGGUUGGGGUGACUUGGAGAUUUAAUAAACUCUUUAUUUUAUAAUUCAAUUAUUUUUGUAUUUUUGACCUUGUAUUAUUGUUAUAAGAUAUAGAUACCUUAGGGAUAACAGCGUAAUUCUUUUUGAGAGUUCUUAUUGACAAAGGAGAUUGCGACCUCGAUGUUGGAUUAAGAUUAUAGUUUGGUGUAGAAGCUUAAUUAUUAGGUCUGUUCGACCUUUAAAUUCUUACAUGAUCUGAGUUCAAA
Molecule: ribosomal RNA, 486 nt
Filed under: Antongilia madagassa
Lineage: Eukaryota; Metazoa; Arthropoda; Insecta; Phasmatodea; Bacillidae
Description: partial large subunit ribosomal RNA
Rfam family: Bacterial large subunit ribosomal RNA
Source: RNAcentral